UGGGGAAUAUUGCACAAUGGGCGCAAGCCUGAUGCAGCCAUGCCGCGUGUGUGAAGAAGGCCUUCGGGUUGUAAAGCACUUUCAGCGAGGAGGAAGGUGGUGAGCUUAAUACGCUCAUCAAUUGACGUUACUCGCAGAAGAAGCACCGGCUAACUCCGUGCCAGCAGCCGCGGUAAUACGGAGGGUGCAAGCGUUAAUCGGAAUUACUGGGCGUAAAGCGCACGCAGGCGGUUUGUUAAGUCAGAUGUGAAAUCCCCGGGCUCAACCUGGGAACUGCAUUUGAAACUGGCAAGCUAGAGUCUCGUAGAGGGGGGUAGAAUUCCAGGUGUAGCGGUGAAAUGCGUAGAGAUCUGGAGGAAUACCGGUGGCGAAGGCGGCCCCCCUGGACGAAGACUGACGCUCAGGUGCGAAAGCGUGGGGCAGCAAACAGGAUUAGAUACCCUGGUAGUCCACGCUGUAAAACGAUGUCGAUUUUGGAGGUUGUGCCCUUGAGGCGUGGCUUCCGGAGCUAACGCGUUAAAUCGACCGCCUGGGG
RNAcentral lists this ribosomal RNA (535 nucleotides) under uncultured bacterium. RNAcentral's name for it is "partial 16S ribosomal RNA". It matches the Rfam family "Bacterial small subunit ribosomal RNA", at positions 355 to 878 of the family's 1533-position model. The record is from RNAcentral.